CACGUGUUUCCGCUGUAGCAGUAAACAACAGGAUGGAUUUUCAUGAUUAUUUUACGAUGGAGAACACGUCAAUUCAUCAGAUAUGACGGGUCUUUUCUUUGGCAUUAGAUGUGACACGUGUAGUGUGCUGGUACCAUUUAGGCUUCAGAACUUUCAUCUAUGAAGACCCACUUGCUUAUCCCACCAAUGGCCACCAUGCACAGAAAAGACCAUGAUGUGGAGGACAUAGGUGCUUAGUUAUUAGAGUCGGGACAGAAUACAUUUAGAAACUGAGCAUGUCUCGGUCAAAUCAAAGGAGUUCCCUCGGUCUUUCAGAGAGAUGGCAGAGAGAUCAUUCAACAUGAAGAUGAUGUGCACAUAAUGUAAUCUGGAAUCUAAAGUUAGAGAUAAAAACCUGCAAACUUACUAGCAAAUAAGCCUAUCUGCUUGUUAAUUAUUCUUUGCUGGAUACAUCACUUUUAGGAAUGCUCUUUAUUUCUAUCAAUGAUGCAAGUGGUUAUUCAAGAUCAUGUCAAUGACAUGUGAUAUAAGGAAUUCUGACUUUUGACAGCAUAAGUCAAGGGUUUAUGAGAAGAGUAGCAAAUACUAAAGAAAUCCUUGGAUACUGAAAUUCAGUCAUUGUAUGCCACAUAAACUGGAUGAGUGAAAGAUUGUAGCUGAAGUUCUGUGCUUGUCCAUCUUUGCUGUAUUUUCAUAUGCUUAUAAAAUGACAAAAGUUGUUUUAACAAGUGACCCAGUAAAGACUUGAAAAUGUAAAAUAAUUCUUGUAAGAAAAGAAAAAUUGCAAAUGUUUUCUUAUACAAUGUAUUCUAGAUGACAAAAAAUGUGUUUGACUAAGUUUUUGAAAAUGACAAAAUAAGUUAUCUUUUGUAUAAUUAAAAAAUGAUACUGGUUGCAAUACAUUUUUACCUUAAUAUGAUUUUAAUAGUAUUUGUCACUAAGAUUGAAAUACUUGAGAACACAUCUUACAAAUUUUGUUCCAGUUUACUUUAGUCAGAGAUAUAUUUUUUGAAUGACAACCAAGAUUUGAAAAAAAGAAAAAACAAAGUAAAACAAAACUAUUCACUUUUGUGAUAUUUAUGUUGAUUUUGUUGUUUACAAUUUUAUGUGUCAGUUAUUGGACAAUAUGUCCAUAAUAAUUGCAGCAUUUCAAAUUUGAUAUAUACUAACAAUUUAAGGUAGAUUUCUGUACUGAUAUGACCUUGACCCCCAAAGAACAGAAAUUUCAGGGUCAAUACUUAAGACAAUUAUUUGUUGGAUGUUUUAUACAUUAUUUUUGACCUUAUAUCUUACAAACGAUACCAUGGAAAACUGUCUAGAAUAAGAAGUAAGAAACCUAUAAAGCCAAAAAAUUGAAUAUUGUUGAUGCUUAGCAACCAUUUAAAGGUCAUUUAACACAAAUUUGAACAAAAAUAAUAUGUGGAUAUUGCAAUACAGUAUGAUGCCUUCUAAAGAGUAAAUUCAGAAUUUUCUUCUUUAGCAUCCAUUGUUACAAAUUGUAGCAAGAAAGAUGAAAAGUUUUGGGAAAAAUUUCUAAAAUUAUGCACUUAUUUGACCUUUGACCUCCAAAAAAAGUGAAUCUGAUGAGGUCAAACUUUAAGACAAUUAUCUGAUGUAUAUUAUUUCAGUAUCAUUACCCCACAUAUGACUUUACAAUGUAAUGGAAUGCAUAAAUGUGUGUGGGAUGAGCAAAAAACAAGAAAUACUGCCUGAAAAUUGAAAAAUACUCUGUUGCUUAGCAACCUCUUUAAAGUCAUUAUUUGCAGAAUUGAAAAAAAAGUUUAUGUGAUUAAUGUAGUACAGGAUAAUGCCCUUUUGUGGGUUUAUUCUGAAUUUCCUAUUUCAAUGUGUAUCACUGUUAAUUUUUAACUUGAAAAUUAAAAUGUGUCAAAAAAUGCAAUAAAA
Long non-coding RNA from Saccostrea cuccullata (small rock oyster), 1905 nucleotides. RefSeq lists it as uncharacterized. The transcript is spliced from 3 exons. NCBI's taxonomy places the organism in Eukaryota, Metazoa, Mollusca, Bivalvia, Ostreida, Ostreidae. The record is from RefSeq and is a predicted model, not a curated record.